This 579-nucleotide small RNA is filed under the name human gut metagenome. The record is from RNAcentral.
CUAUCGAUGGCACAUUAUUCUAGUCAGAUGAUUUAUUAUGAAGACGGGGCUAAAAAUCCGUUAAAGAGCAUAUCGAUGAAACUUUUGGUGCUUGCUUCUUUCGCCCAGAUUGGGGUGAGUGCUGGAAAUGAGAAUGUUGGGCAUCCAUAAUGGCAUAUGCAAAUGACCCACCAUUCGUGGAGACCUAUUAUUGUGUUUGGCCUAUACGUGAUAACUGAUGGACUAAAUACGAAAUAGGAUUAAACCUACCUUGUGAUGAAAGUUAUGGGUAGUGUAGCUUGUCUUGAGUGAGUAAUAGGGAUAAUUGAUUAAACAAUUUUGUAAGUUUUUAGCUAGAACCUUCAAGAUUGCAAUUUGAAAUAUUAUUUGCAAAAAAGAAUUAAUAAUAAAUAUUUGGUGAGGAAAUCUUCUAGAGUGUUGUUAGUAUGGGAUUGCAGUGCGUACUAAGUGGCAAUCAAGUAGUAUAAUAGGUGACUAUAUACUGAAUCUUUUAAAGGGGAACCACUUAUUGGUAACGAUAAGUAAGAUUUAGAGAAAUUCGACUUGACCUAAGACGUAAAGUUAAUCAUAUUAACGCCA